This 20-nucleotide microRNA is filed under the name Culex quinquefasciatus (southern house mosquito). RNAcentral's name for it is "cqu-miR-932-3p". Its record names the gene cqu-miR-932-3p. Lineage: Eukaryota; Metazoa; Arthropoda; Insecta; Diptera; Culicidae. The record is from miRBase by way of RNAcentral.
UGCAAGCAAUGUGGAAGUGA